UUCCUCACUUAUCCCAUAGAACAAUACAGUACUCAACCUCACCACAUAAACCCUAAAUUCCUCGUCAACACAUGCUCACUAGAAUUUUCCUUGCAAAUUAAUUUCUCGAGUGCCUCGCCUGGCCAGGGCGCUAGGUUGAAGAUUCAGAAAAUGGCAACCACUUGGUCAUAGGCGUUCACUACUUAUUUACCACGGUCUAAUAAGCUACUAGGAGGGGUUUGUAGAAGCUUCUAUGUC
Molecule: unclassified non-coding RNA, 237 nt
Filed under: Hevea brasiliensis (rubber tree)
Lineage: Eukaryota; Viridiplantae; Streptophyta; Magnoliopsida; Malpighiales; Euphorbiaceae
Source: RNAcentral